Long non-coding RNA from Xenopus laevis (African clawed frog), 11098 nucleotides. RefSeq lists it as uncharacterized. Lineage: Eukaryota; Metazoa; Chordata; Amphibia; Anura; Pipidae. The record is from RefSeq and is a predicted model, not a curated record. The transcript is spliced from 5 exons.
UUUGUUGCUCCCUGAUCUAUACAAUAUCAGCUCAGUAGUUCUAUACAGAGAAUAUUGGAUUCAGACCCAGUAACACUGCCUUUUCCAUCUUUUCUUGCAGGAUGUUGUAUCUCUAUAUUCCUUACUCGCCCCCUUUUUCUUCCUGUAUUUCCCGUGGUCUCUUUGUGCUUAUUUAUUGCCCCCACUGCUGCCCCUCCAUUCCUACCCCCUGGCACAUGUACCCGCAGGAUGGCCGUGUCUCUGAAAUCUCCGUUAGUGAUCACCAUUGUCAUCAACCUUCAUUUAGUGGCUCUUACAUUCCUGUGACUAGGGAUCCUAUCCCCAGGCUGUUGUGUAAGGAUGUCUGUCUGUCUGUGUAAUACUAAUGGGUCUGUGUGUCCUGGCACUCAGUGAUUUGUUGCCUCCUUGUCUCAUAGGUUUGAUGAAGUCUAUAAUUGGCAGUUAAUAUCCCUCUAUAUGAAAAGGAGAUUCUUUCUGGAUGACAGUUGUCCGCCCCUCAGACACAUACUGCUUGCUCUGGGAGGUUACCUCUCGAAUUUUGAUGGUAACUUCAUGUGGAACAGGAUUGGAGCUGUAAUGAGCCUGUAGGAUCCCUGUGCCUCCUUCCGACUCUCUCAGGAGCAUUCUGCCUUCCCCUGGCCUAUCAGAUUGUAGUGGAACUGCUCUUCUCUGCCCGUGCUGGGCUGGCAGCUGGCUUUCUGCUUUGGUUCGGAGGAGGCGCCUGGCUCUGCCCUAGUCUAAUAAUGACACAAUCUUGGAACAUUUAGCCAGUGUCUCCUAUUUUGUGCAGCUGCUGAAAGUCUGCUGAAUGAUAAAUCUGCCCAAAUGCUGGAGCAGUCGGCACACGGCCUAGAGAAAGAAGUGCAAGGGACCAACAUCAGCAGCCCUGACACCCACAGGGAGUUUUAUCUCUAUGACCCCAGAACCCUGAUAUAGGACGUGGACCACCCAUCUUGUAGAGAAUCCAGCCCCAGGCAAAGCACCAGAACAUUCUGCUAGAAGGAAUUGGACAUGAGAUGUGUUUAGCGUGAUCCAAUUGGGAUUUCUUGUGUUUGUCUAAGAGAUGAGUCUCCUACAACAGAGCCAUUGAGUUGGCAGUGGAUGGAGCAUGUGUCUAACUGCCAGCUUGACUCUGUGUGCCACUUGAAUAAGAUUCUUCCAUCCAAAAUGGGACCGUCCUUCUGCAAUCACUGAUCAAUAUUUGUCUCAUGUUCACAUACAGGGAGAGGGGUCUCACACUUAAUCUUGUAUAAGCUGGACACGGCAACAUUCAGGUCUCUGCAGAAGGACUUGUAGCUUUGAGAUGCUCCGUGGUUCCUUACAAACACAAAAGCUACAGGGAUGAUUCAGGCCAUGAAUGGUGCACAAUGUUAAGAUAUUAUAUCUAGAAAGUUCAUUAGUUCCAUGAGGUGAAGCUGAUGUUACUUUUCAUUCUCACACUGGUUCACUUUAUGACAAAUCCAGGGCUGAGCCUUUCUUAAGAUGGCCAUACACAGGGAGGCAUCGCCAAAUGAGUGGAUCUCUCCCCAAUAUGCCAACAUUGAGGUGAGCCAUAUCGGGCUGAUCUGAUAGUGGCACUUGGGCCCAAUGAUCGGUUCAGAACGUUGGCAAUACGGACGGUUGGCCACAUCAAAGAACAGAUGCACGAUCAACAUCUGGCUGACUUUCGGCCAAAUACCGAUCGGGAAGCUCCCGACUUGAUCUGUCAGCAGUUUUUAUUGGCCUGUGUAUGGGGGCCUUUACUCUUGUCCCUCUCCACCCCAUCACUCCUCAAUGACUGGACACCAGGCAGCACGAUUAGCUAGAAAAGGACAAUGUUAUUUAUUUAUUUUUAUUCUCAUUUCUCACGCUAGUUCCCUUUACAACAAAUACAGCGUUGAGUCUGCGUUGCCUCUUGUCCCUCUCCCCCAAUAACUGGACACCAGGCAGCGGCUAGAGAAGGACAACCUUAUUUAUGAACCAUAAAACUUAACUCAAAUGAACAUGUUAAACAACAGUUUGUACUACAACCAGUAAAAGAAGAUAAAAGAAUGGCACAUCUCCUCCAGGAAGGAGCACCCCUGUUUCCUAUCCAAGUCCCCAUCAAAUCUGUCCAACUCCCCCAGGAGCCCAGGCUGAAUGAAUGAGGUGCAAGUGAGGGGGAGCUGAUACACUGCUCCUGUGUAAGCAUACAGCUCGUAGUAGGCCCAAACUGUCAGGCCCCUCACUCAGGAUAUAUAGUCUGGCUCCACCUCUGUUUCCUAGUUCUGUUGCAAAGCUCAGUGAGGUUAUCACUAGACAGCCAGGAAGAUCAAGAGGCAGUUGUAUGAGGGUAAUGAUAGAGAGAGCAAAAGAGAGACCUGUCACCCAUACUAAAAUCAGCCUGUGUAGGAUUUACUGCACUGACAUUUCGGGCCUACUAGAAAAGCAUUUUACAUUGCGUAUAAAAUUCCUUUUUCUCUAGUCCCUCCUGUCAGUGCAGACGUCCUGUAAAACAUAGGUUGGGUAUGCUGAAUGGUUUGGUUAUCUAUUCCACUUAAGCCACUGCAACUUGUAAAACUUUGAGGCCAAACACGGCCGGUGUAGAUGCGAAAACAUGCAACUGAUAAAGUUUGCUAAAAGUGUUGGGUGAAGCCCAUGUGGCUACUCUAUAGAUCUGCUCCGAGGUAGCCAAGUUCUGAUGGGCCCAGGAAGUACUUUGUGCUCUUGUAGAGGGAUCUGGAACCUGGAACGGUUGCUGUUUUUGGUUGAGUGUAGGCCUGAUUAAUUGUCUCUACAAGCCAUCCUGCAGUAGUAGCCUCUAUGUGCUGGAGAGUAGGAGACCUGAAGCGUCUGCUCUUUGUAAAUCUUGAUUGCCUGCACCACAGCUUAUGUAGCUGUUUUUCUUUUUCAUUCUUGGGGUUUGGGCAAAAGGACGGGAGAACAAUUUCCUGGUUGAUAUGGAAUCCAGAUACCACUUUUCGUAGGAAAAUAGGAACUGUAGGAGGGACUUCCUUGUUGUUGUAGAGAAUCAGCCAUGGUUCCUUAUGUGACAGCGCUGCCAUUUUGGUUACUCUUUUGGCUGAAGUGAUCGCAAUAAGGAAUGUGACUUUCAGGGUCAGCCACUUGAGAUCACAGGAAUGGAGAGGUUCAAAUGGUGCCUUCUUUAUGACUGACAGCACCAGCCCAUGGAGGAGUCAGGUUUCGAAGGGGGGGGGUGUGAUUCACAGAGCCCCUUGUAAGACCUGCUGGAUGUUCUGCCCACUUGAAGUGGAAUAGUAUUGAGAGAGCUGAUAUCUGGGAUUAAAGGGUCACAACUUGUGGUGUGCUGAUGAGUUGUCUGAAGGAGCACCACAAGAGAAAGGUUUGACACUUUCCUUGUCCGUAGCAGGAUGUCUAUCACUGGUGGGGAAAAUCAUCUCUUGGCCCAUAAAUUGGUCUCAAAUGCCAUAAAUGGAGCAUGGUCUAAUGGGGUGCCGAGCUGGGCCCUGGAGAAGAGGUUCCGGUUGUAGUGGUUGCCUCCAUGGUCUGGAUAUGGACAUGCCUAGGUCUGUGUACCAGAGUCUAUUGGCCCAAUGCAGGGCAACAAGUAUUGUUGUUACCCUUCAUGCUUGAUCUUGAUGAUGACUCUGGAUAAUAUCGCCAAUGGGGGAAAAGGAAUAAACCCAUUAGAAGUUCCAGGGAAUCACUAAGGCAUGUUUGAAUGCCACUCCUGGAUCCCUGGUACUGGAGCAAUUACAUGGCACUAUUGUGUCUGGAUGCUAAGAUGUCUAUUUCUGGCAUCCCCAUUUGGUGACUACUUGUCAGCUAUCGCUGAAAUGAUUCCGUUUUGAACUUGUGGUUGUGGAUACGUUUAGAUGUUUGAUAUUUAGUAUUGCUCGGAAUGGAUCCUCGUUUUGCCACCAGGAAGAGGUUUGAGUAGAACCCUUUGAACUUGUACUGUUCUGGAACAGUUGUGAUGACUGCCGACCAUAAAGAUAGAUAACAUAGAGAUGUUAUCGCCUGGUGUAGGGCAUGUUACUUUUGUGUGUGGGUACCACCGAUGUAACAAAUCCUCUUGGUGGAAUUGUGGUCAAAAUGUGUUUUGUAGAUGUGUUGAAUAAUUUGAAGAACCCAAUUGUCCAUAACGUGUGCUCUCCAGCAGGAGAGGAAUCUAGUGAGGGGACCCCCUACUCUGGAAGCUGGGCUGUGUUUAAGGCAGUCAUGCUGAGUUAGGUUUUGUAGCGACAGGCUUUCUGGGUCUGCUUGACUGUUGCCUAUUGCCUUUUGAAUACUGCUUUCUACUGGUGUAACGAAAACUGGAUGAGUGAAAAUUGCUGCUAAGUGUGGACCGUGUUUGCCUGGUGGUAAAUUUCUUUGAUUGAUCAGUAUAAUGACUUUUUCCUAGUGGAAGGAAGGUGUUCUUCCCUCCUGUAACAUCUGUAAUGAUUUGUUUAUAAUUUGGUCCAAAUAAGAAUUCUCCUGUAUAGUACAGACCCAAUAGUUUAUUCUGAGGCUGUAUCCCCUGACCAGUGUUGUAGCCAUAGUGCUCAGCUGGCUACCACCGAAUUGGCUACUGACUUUGCGGCAAAGCAGAUGAUUUCCAAGGCCAAGUCAUUAAACAUGUUGAUGUCUCCAGCUAGUUCUUGUGCCGAGGUGGAUGGAUCAUGGGCCAGUUCCCAGAAUCUUUUAGAGAGGACUUUUUACACUCCUUACUGCGUCUUCAGUAGGGAGUGUAGUUUGUUUGGAACGUCUAGCAAUGGUGGAGUCUACUUUAGGUGGCUUUUCCCAUACUUUCCAAUGUUCCUCAGGAACUGGAUAAGUAUCUUAAAAUCAUUUGGUCAGUGCAAACUGGCGAUCUGCUUGUAGCCAUUCUGUGUCAUAGUCUUCGUGAUUGAGCCAAACAUAGGAAAUGAGUGUGCUUUCCUUUGAUGGACACCUAACACUUUAUCUGCUUUAGACACUGCAAUGGUCUCAUCUUUUAGUUCCAAGGUCUCCAUCGUGUCUUUGAGUGUUUUUUUUAUUUUUUUUUUAUUUGUCUGGUUUUGUACAUGAGGCUUGUUCAGAAUCUGAGUCUCUAUAUGCCUUAUCUGAGAGCCUCAGCUCUGAGUCAUGAAAUGAAUAAACCUCAUUACUGAAUAAUGGACCUUCCUCAGCAUCAGAUAAGUCAGGUGGGGACUCCUGUGCUUUGCAUUUGGUAGCUUGUGGCUGAAGGUUGGGAGAAUGGAACUUUUUUUUUAUCCAUUCUAAGAAAUCCCCUAGCUGAGGGGUAGUUGUGGACAUUGUUUCUGCAACAUUACCUGGCCUAGGAGUACUAUUGACUCCUUGGGUUUGGGGCUCCUUGUUGCCUUGUGAUUCUAGGAGUACUGAAUUGGUCUCAGUUGGGUUAUCUUGCGGCGAUAAAUGUGGUGGUUGUAAGGUCUUACAGUCGGCACAGUUAAUGGUCUCUGACUUUCUUAGAGUAUGUUUGCACUUUUUUUUACAUUCUUGCCCUUUAUCAGGCUUUUUUGUUGGACUCUUUGGCCAACAGCUUUGGCUGAUUGAAUGUCCUCUUAAGGAACUAGAUCCCUCCAUGACAAAACAAGUGGUAAUGUUUUUACAAACACUGUGGCAAAAAGUAUAAGAUCUACUGCUGCCAUGGGGUUAAUUCUGGUACCUCAAUAUAUCUGGAGGAGUUGCCUGCCGCCUGCAGGAAUAGCCGCGGUUCUGAACCAGCGUAGGAACUGCUAUGUGCGCCAAUCUGUUGGCCCUAAAAUGUGAAUGGCUGCCAUGUUGAACUGUGCCCUUUACCAAAAUGACGUGCAAUCUAUCUGGUCAAAAACCACUUGAAACUGCAACAUCCUUUGCACUUUACUUCUUGCAAUUCUUUGAGAUUAUAGACGGCAAUAAGUGUGUAUUUGGCACAAGUGCUACACAGGAGCAGAGUAUUGGCUACCCACACUUGCACCUUAUUCAUUUGGCCUGGGCUCCUGCAGGAGUUGGAGAGACUUUGAUGGGGACUUGGAUAGGAGGCAGGGGUUAGGGUGCUCCUUCCUGGAGGAUAUGUGCCAUUCUUUUAUCUUCUUUUACUGUUUUUAGUACAGGUAUGGGACCUAUUAUCCAGAAUACAGGAAAAUCCAGUAAACAUUAAUCCCAAUAAACUGGGGUUGGUUCCAAUAAGGAUUAAUUAUAUCUUAGUUGGGAUCAAGUACAAGCGACUGUUUUAUUAUUACAGAGAAAAAGGAAAUACACUGUGGAAAAAAAACAUCCAUUAACUCCAAGGUAUUUGGUGAAAUUUGCAAUUCUUUGGACUAGUGACAUGGGCCAGUUUCGCUUGUGACUAGUAGGGAUCCACUAAAUACACUAUUUUGGACUCGCACGUCACAAGGGAUACAGCCAAAUCUUGAACUGAAGCUAAAUCUUAAUUUGCAGCUGUAAAAACGAGGAAACUUCCAGCAAAAGAAACCACUUCUAUGGAAGUGCAGGUACGUCAGGAUGCAAGUACCUUUAAAACAGGUGGUUCACCUUUAACUUUAAGUAUGUUAUAGAAUGGCCAAUUCUAAUCAACAUUUAUAAGCCACUAUGCAAUGGCUUGCUGGCUAUUGGUGUGUCAAUCUAUUGCUCUCAGACCCCUGGGAUGUUGCACAACGUUUCUGAGUUGGAUUGCCCUUGUAGCACUGAGAUAAGAGAUCCAUUUAGAGCAGGGAUCCCCAACCGUUUUUACCCAUGAGCCACAUUCAAGUGUAAAUGAUAUUGGAGAGCUAUGUAAGCUUCCAAAUAAGGGCUGUGAUUGGGUGCUGGUAUCUCCUAUGUGGACUGGCAGCCUACAGGAGGCUCUAUUUGGCACUACACAUGGUUUUAUACAACCAAAACUUGCCUCCAAGCCUGGAAUUCAAAAAUAAGCACCUGAUUUGAAGCCACUGGGAGCAAUAUCCGAAGGUUCUGAGAGCAACAUGUUGCUCCCGAGCCGCUGCUUUAGAGUGUGGUCUGAACUUGUAUGCGUUAUAUAUUUAUGAAAAAACAGUGGUUUGGAUCAAGGGAUGCAAUAGCUCAGAGGUUGUUGGUUGCCCUUGUAAUGCAAAGGUUCUGAGUUCGAUUCCUCUUGUAGCACUGGGGUAAGUGAUCCCUUUAAAGUAUUGUUUGAACCUGUAUGAACUAUAUAGUUAGGAGAAAACAUUGGUUUGUGUUAAGGGAUGAGGUGGCUCAGAGGUUGUUGUUUGCCUUUGCGCAUGAGAGUUCUAAGUUUGAUUCCUCUUGUAGCACUGGGGUAAGUGAUCCCUUUAUAGUGUUGUCUGAACCUGUAUGAACUAUAUAGUUACGAAAAAACAUUAGUUUGUAUCAAGGGAUCCGAUAGCUCAGAGGUUGUUGGUUGCCCUUGUAAUGCAAAGGUCUUGAGUUCAAUUCCUCUUGUAGCACUGGGGUAAGUGAUCCAUUUAAAGUGUUGUCUUUACUUGUAUAAACUAUAUAGUUACGAAAAAAACAUUAGUUUGUAUCAAGGGAUGCAAUAGCUUGGUGGUUGUUGGUUGCCCUUGUAAUGCAAAGGUCCUGAGUUUGAUUCCCCAUGAUUGCUGGGUUUCAACUCAAAAGGGUGGCUCCUCCUGAAGGCUGGGUCCUGAGUCUGAUUCCCCAUGAUUGCUGGGUGUCAACUCAAAAGGAUGACUCCUCCUGAAGGUUGGGUCCUGAGUCUGAUUCCCCAUGAUUGCUGGGUGUCAACUCAAAAGGAUGACUCCUCCUGAAGGCUGGGUCCUGAGUCUGAUUCCCCAUGAUUGCUGGGUGUCAACUCAAAAGGAUGACUCCUCCUGAAGGCUGGGUCCUGAGUCUGAUUCCCCAUGAUUGCUGGGUGUCAACUCAAAAGGAUGACUCCUCCUGAAGGCUGGGUCCUGAGUCUGAUUCCCCAUGAUUGCUGGGUGUCAACUCAAAAGGAUGACUCCUCCUGAAGGCUGGGUCCUGAGUCUGAUUCCCCAUGAUUGCUGGGUGUCAACUCAAAAGGAUGACUCCUCCUGAAGGCUGGGUCCUGAGUCUGAUUCCCCAUGAUUGCUGGGUGUCAACUCAAAAGGGUGACUUCUCCUGAAGGUUGGGUCCUGAGUCUGAUUCCCCAUGAUAGCUGGGUUUCAACUCAGAAUGAUGACUCCUCCUGUAGGCUGGGUUCCAAGACCCAACUCCUCCCAAAGGAUGUUCAAGUUCCAUUCCAGAAAAAGAGUGGGUUAUGCAUCUUGUUGGUGGGAGCCCCUUCCCCUAUAUAGGAUAAGUAAUGUAAACAUUACCAAGUCCCACUUUUUUCACCCAUUCUUUCUGGAUAACCCCCUGGGUCAACUCCCCCUUUGGCCUGCCUCUCUCUCACCUUGGCCCGGUACUCUCCCUCCUUGGCCUUAACCAGGUGAGGGAGAGCACCACUGGGGCGGGGGUUGCCCCAGUGGGGCUCGUCUGAAGUGGUUAAUUACAUGGAGAGGAACACACAAACGCCUUGCAGAUGGGGCCCCAGUCAGAGCUUAGUCUCCGACCUUCAUUACGAAUCGCCCUUGGGUCUUGGAACCCAACCAUCAUCAGGAGCCGCCCUUUUUGACCAGCCAGAGCUGGGGCCCCAGAGCUGCAAGGCCAUGUGUUCCAACCAUGUUAUUAUUGCCCACUUUACAAUCUACAUAUGAGAUUUGAACUUGCUUAUGAGUGCUGCUGUGCAGCCGCACGGCCCAAUUCGCCACCUUCCCCCAUCUGCCUGUGCUUCUCUUGGGUGUGGGACGGACCACACCCCCAUCGCUACACACAGUCACAGACGGGAUUUGAACUCAGGCCCCUGAGUUCUGCUGUGCAGGAGUACUACCCAUUUAGCCACCUCACUGCACAAGAAAUAGCCUUGUCUUUGGUAAUUAUAUCAUGGACAUUUGUAUUCAGCACUUAGAGAGAAGACAAAACACCUUUCAGACUACGGCUGGAUUUGAACUCAUGUCCCCAGUGAGCCAAGUCUAACACACUUACCCCUAGGCUACCAGGUCAGGUCUCUGAUAUCUGCUCACACCCUUAUUAAUACUCCAUAGCAAAUGGAGGAAGAGUCAACACUAAAGUUGCCCAUUUGUUAUACAAGAAAAUAAGAGGUGAAUCUGAGCCAAUCAAGAGCCAGCGCUGGAUCUGUUCCUCCAGCAAACACCUGUAUUUACAGCAGGACAGCCCAAAACUUUGUGGCACUUUGGGAAUAAUCACAAGUUCUUAAAUAUAAAGGAGAGAGCGUAGGGAAACGUGGUCUAGUGGUAAGUUCAUUACACUUGGCUCAUUGGAGACAUGAGUUUGAAUCCAGCCUUGUGUGGUUGUCUUUUACAUGCAGAAUAAAUGAGGUCUCUCUACAGAUAUAUCAAAUAUAUAUAUCAAAUCCCAUCUGUGUUUGUUUAUGGGUUCCCUCCCACACCCAUGAAAUGAAUAAGCAGAUGGGUGAGUAGUCUUGUUUGGAAUGUACAGCCCCAGCUGUGGUUGAGCUCUGGCUGGUGCCCUAUCUGCAAGGUGUUGUAUGUACCUCUCCAUGUCCAUCAAAGCUUACAUUCAUCUUAUAUUUCCGGAUUUGUGAAAAGGCCCGGGCUUAGGGCGGCAGGAUUUUAGGGGCGGCAGUCCAACGACACCCACAUUGGUUCAAAGACAUAGGGGAUGAGUUGGAUUUUUUUUCAUUUCCCGUGUGCCAAUCCCCAUUGCUCCGGUCCAGAUGAUGGAAUUUUGCAUGAAUAAAGGGGAGACGAACGGCAGUGGCCUUAGGGGCACUUACUAUGUAAAUCCAGCCCUGAUCUCCUGACUGAGCCUUGGCCAGUCCCAGUGGUGCACUCUUAAUUAACUCCACACCUUAGCUUGUGAGUGUUGAAUUAAUAACAGCCCCUUAUAGAGAACUUGGAUUGUAAGAAAAAGUACUUUUCAUUCCACCUAAAGGUUGUUUCCAUUUUUGUCAGCAGAAAACCACACCAGCCCGGGGUUCUUCUAGCGACCACCAUGGAGAGAUCCUCUUCCUGCUUCUUCAGGUCUUCUCGCAGUUGCUUCAACGAAAAAGCCGCCUAUUUUGCUCUACUGUGCAUGCGUCUGAAAACCGAUGAAGCAGGAAAAUCUCUCCAUGGUGCUCUGUAGAAAAACCCCAAGCUGGUGCGGUUUUCUGUUAAUCGGAGCGCCAGCUCAAUUGUAAAAUGCUAUUCCUUCUCCUUUUAACGUAGAAAUGCACUGGAGUCAACAGAUUUUUUUUAUUUAUUUUUAUUUAUAAGUAAAACAAAAUCUAUAGAGAAAUGCAGAUAUUGACGUUGGCAUUUGAGGGUUUUUUUUCUGCCACAAUAAGACUUCAUUCUGUUUCCUGGAGAAGCAAAAAAUUUUAAUAUUUGCUGCUGGUCAAUAUGUGAAUUUGGCUGUAAAACUGUACCAGAUGAGGCUCCCACAGCAAUAGGUGCCAACAAACUUGUACCCCACCAUAUCAUGUGUAGACCAUGAAUUUGCUGCCUACUAUGAAACCUUUUAUAAAUAAAUAAACCUUAAAUAAAUGCCCACUUCUCUUGAAUACCCCUAAACUCAUUAGACCCCCCCACAGAAGGCCUAACUUGACUCCCCAAUCUAACUAGCCAUCCAGUCUCCCUCCCAAAUAAAACCUCUGGGCUGGAAAGGUUUCCGGCCUCGUUACUUGGCGAGAACCAGGACUUUAAUUCCCCACGUACACAGGACUUUGGCUAAAGCCCAAACCAAGGGUCACCUUCCCCAUUCCAUGCAGAAACCUAUAAUAGUGGUCAUAGCGAAGGAGGCAGGGCAACCAGUGUUGGGGCUUCCUGGCCAAUCUCUUUACUCAAUGUGGAUGUCAAAGUUUGGGUUCCUGACACAAAAGGCUACAACCAUCAAUAUAUUAGUUCUAUGCCAACAAGCAAAUUCCCCAUCAGAGGCGGGCCAUGACUUUUGGGUACUCAAGGUUACCCUCUGGAAACGGCGUGUCUUCCACCAAGCCCCUUGCAUUAGCCAUUACUAAUUGCUUCAUGCAGAAGCAUGUUGUAGAAGAAUCAGUGCAAUUUUUUUUCUUUUAAUAGCACCCCCUCUUAACUUGCACCCUAGGAGGUUGCCUACCCCUAGUUCCUGCCCUGUUCCCCAUGACAAAGGCACCAGAACUAUCCUAUCAAUUGACUGGGACACACAGGGAGCGUAGGCAGGCAGAAUAUGGCACACAGAGGGCAGGCAGAGUAUG